RNAcentral lists this ribosomal RNA (301 nucleotides) under uncultured bacterium. RNAcentral describes it as "partial 16S ribosomal RNA". It matches the Rfam family "Bacterial small subunit ribosomal RNA", at positions 509 to 807 of the family's 1533-position model. The record is from RNAcentral.
CAGCCGCCGCGGGAACACGAAGGGGGCUAGCGUUGUUCGGAAUUACUGGGCGUAAAGCGCACGUAGGCGGACAUUUAAGUCAGGGGUGAAAUCCCGGGGCUCAACCUCGGAACUGCCUUUGAUACUGGGUGUCUUGAGUGUGGAAGAGGUAAGUGGAAUUGCGAGUGUAGAGGUGAAAUUCGUAGAUAUUCGCAGGAACACCAGCGGCGAAGGCGGCUUACUGGUCCACAACUGACGCUGAGGUGCGAAAGCGUGGGGAGCAAACAGGAUUAGAUACCCCCGUAGUCCCUGUCUCUUAUAC